Molecule: non-coding RNA, 1747 nt
Organism: Lepisosteus oculatus (spotted gar)
Lineage: Eukaryota; Metazoa; Chordata; Actinopteri; Semionotiformes; Lepisosteidae
Source: RefSeq, a predicted model, not a curated record
ACUGCGGUUUAUUUUCAGGGAGAAACGGCAAGCUGUCGUCAGCCGAGAGGCAGCGGCGCUACCGGGAGAAGAUCAGAGCUGAUCCUGAGAGGGGCCGAGCUCAUCGGGAAAAGGAUCGCCAGAGGUACCACGAGAGGAAGAAGCUGAUCAGCGAUCUCUCGGAGCACUGCCAGAGACUGAAGCGGGAGGCGUGGCGAGAGGCGGCCAGGCGGUACCGGCAGCGGAAGAAAUCCUGCUCCGUCCCGGGGCCCUCCUGCCUGCAGCAUCGGUCGAGCCACACUGUGGAGCCCGCUGCCGGGCAGAGAAGAGGUGCCUUCUGUCCAGAGAUCAGCCAGAUAACCUGAGACACUCAUCAGCGCCAAAGCUGGGCAGAGGCCGCGUCUCAGAAGCUGUAAAAUCUCUGCAGAUGCCCGUCAUUCCACAGGUUUUGAUUAGUCUCGGGUGUCAGGAUGUCCUUUUCAGGCCACACUCUUGUUUAAGAAAGACACGCCGCCGAUGUCGUUUUACGGUACAGUGUAGCAACUGCCAGUCAAGGCAUGUAACCUCGGGCUUCUCAAAACAGAAAAGAAAGUCUUUUAAGACUCUACGUAGAUGGCAGAUCUUUUUUUUUUUGGCAAGAGGAGUAGUCACAAAAUAUAACAGAGUAAAAGUAUUUAGGUGAUUUAGAUGCACUGUGGUCACUCAAGGGAUGCUUCCUGGUGUCUUCGUGUUGGGUGGCAGGACAGUGCUGGAACUAUGGGACACAGGCUGAAGGAAAGAGAAAACAAGGAUGAAGCAGGGCGAAUCGAUUUCUGAAACCACUAACCGCUGUGCCUGGUGGCAGGAUCCACCCUGUGCCACACAGCCCCUCCUGAGUCUAGUUGUAGUGAUGGCGUCAGGUGUAGGUGGAUUGAUCUCCGCGAUUCCAUUUAGUACAAUUGCCUUGGUUUUACGUUUUGGAUCAGAACAGCGAGACAGCUGUACCCUGUUUCUACUGGCUUUAUUUAUUGGUAGCUUAACACGGCAUAAGUAUUUGAAAAUGCUUAUGUUCCUUGCAUAGUUGUUGGUAAAUCAUCAUCGCCUGGGUUUUUGAAGGAGUUUGGGAGAUUUCGCAACAAAGUUCUAUAGAGGUGUGAGCCUCUGGGCCUGUUUGUCAGGUUUAAAUAAAAUUUUUAAAAAAACACGGAUGAGGUACAUGUUUGGAUCACUUUCACUUCCCGGCAUAAAGUAGGGCCUCCUGUUAAAGCAGUCUGAAGAUCCACAUCUCCCCUUUCCUGGACUACACAGCACUUGUGGUGUACAAUGGAAGCAACAAAAAUAUAGUGAAGUUGAACAUUGUUGCUGGUUUAAAUCUGGCAGAGGAACUGCUGCAAUAAUGGUGUUGGCAUAGUAGAGACAUUUUUUACUUUUAACUUCAAUAGUGUCCUCUUACUUGCGUAACUCCUCUGUCGGUGAGCAACACUGUUAAUCGAUUUGCUUAUUCACAGUCCUGUACAAUAAAUUAAAACUGUUCCAGAUCCCCCAGAAUUCUGUGUGAAGGACAGCCCAGUUCUGAGUUGUCUGCCACACACAGACCCAUGUGUGUGGCUUGGGAAGCCUACAUGUGUGAUUGCAGCUCUUACAUAAAGAUACUGUAUAUUAUUACAACACUUUGGGAAUGAUGUGUUAAACUGUUACCGAUCUGAAUGUAGGUGUUUCUUCUUUGUUUUUCAUUUAGUAUUUUUCUAUUUACUACAAUGGAAUUAUUUUAAAUAAAGUUUUAACAGAG